Molecule: unclassified non-coding RNA, 849 nt
Filed under: Melitaea cinxia (Glanville fritillary)
Lineage: Eukaryota; Metazoa; Arthropoda; Insecta; Lepidoptera; Nymphalidae
Description: misc RNA ENSMCXG00005021367.1
Source: RNAcentral
GAUAAGGCAUGUAACGCAGAUGAUGUAUCUGGACCUGAUCAGGACAACCUGAUCUGGACCUGAUCAGGUUUUCCUGAUCUCAGGUCAUACCUGAUCUGGACCUGAUCAGGUUUCCCUGGUCAGGUCCAGAUACAUCAUCUGCGUUACAUGCCUUAUCUAGUCCUGAUCAGGCAUGCACGGUCCGGUCCUUGGUUGCUUGAUCCAAAUCGAGUAUGCCCAUGCGGUCCUUUUAAAUAAAACACGAAUGUACAGUCUUGACAAAAUUGUUUAUUAAAAAACUUGGUUGUCUGCAAAGUUGGUUUACAGACGAUAGUUAAACGUGACAACCGUCAUAACAAAACAUCUCCUCGGAUGCAUAGGCCGAUCAGAUAGAUGCGGCACAAGCAUACAUAUGAUCGUAACGAAGCCGGCGUUAAUCGAUUUAUUAGACGUCACGUCAAAAAAAAAAAAAAGAAAUGAUAUUAUGUUACUUAACAUACUAUGUAUAUUUAAAAUAACAUAUUAUAUACAUUUAACUUAACAUAACAAUACACUUUAUUGUGCACUUAAACAGAAAUAAAACUUAUCCGAUUGAAAAAAAACAUAUUUAUUUCCAUUUAUUUUUUCAAAUGUAUUAUUUAUUUUUGUUUUUACUUUAAAUAUCAAUUAUUUUUAUGUUAUAGUUAAAAAUAAUAAUGAUUGUUAUUAAAUAUUAUGAAUUAAUUUUUCUUUUUGUUUGCUUGGCAAAAUAUUUUACACAGCAAAAAAAAAAUAGUUGUUUUUAUUUAUCUUCAUUAGAUGGUAGUUUUUGAUCCUGGAUACCCUGUACCCAUCCCAAUCUUUAUUAUUAUAUUAGCAUUAUUCAAUACU